UGCACAGAUUGGCCGCCCUGCUCUCUU
This 27-nucleotide non-coding RNA is filed under the name Cricetulus griseus (Chinese hamster). Lineage: Eukaryota; Metazoa; Chordata; Mammalia; Rodentia; Cricetidae. The record is from RNAcentral.